RNAcentral lists this ribosomal RNA (1241 nucleotides) under Salmonella enterica subsp. enterica serovar Enteritidis. RNAcentral describes it as "partial 23S ribosomal RNA". It matches the Rfam family "Bacterial large subunit ribosomal RNA", at positions 1198 to 2421 of the family's 2925-position model. Lineage: Bacteria; Pseudomonadati; Pseudomonadota; Gammaproteobacteria; Enterobacterales; Enterobacteriaceae. The record is from RNAcentral.
AGCUGCGGCAGCGACACUGUGUGUUGUUGGGUAGGGGAGCGUUCUGUAAGCCUGUGAAGGUGUGUCGUGAGGCAUGCUGGAGGUAUCAGAAGUGCGAAUGCUGACAUAAGUAACGAUAAAGCGGGUGAAAAGCCCGCUCGCCGGAAGACCAAGGGUUCCUGUCCAACGUUAAUCGGGGCAGGGUGAGUCGACCCCUAAGGCGAGGCCGAAAGGCGUAGUCGAUGGGAAACGGGUUAAUAUUCCCGUACUUGGUGUUACUGCGAAGGGGGGACGGAGAAGGCUAUGUUGGCCGGGCGACGGUUGUCCCGGUUUAAGUGUGUAGGUGUGUGUUCCAGGUAAAUCCGGUUCACUUUAACACUGAGGCGUGACGACGAGGCACUACGGUGCUGAAGCAACAAAUGCCCUGCUUCCAGGAAAAGCCUCUAAGCAUCAGGUAACAUCAAAUCGUACCCCAAACCGACACAGGUGGUCAGGUAGAGAAUACCAAGGCGCUUGAGAGAACUCGGGUGAAGGAACUAGGCAAAAUGGUGCCGUAACUUCGGGAGAAGGCACGCUGACACGUAGGUGAAGUGAUUUACUCAUGGAGCUGAAGUCAGUCGAAGAUACCAGCUGGCUGCAACUGUUUAUUAAAAACACAGCACUGUGCAAACACGAAAGUGGACGUAUACGGUGUGACGCCUGCCCGGUGCCGGAAGGUUAAUUGAUGGGGUCAGCGCAAGCGAAGCUCCUGAUCGAAGCCCCGGUAAACGGCGGCCGUAACUAUAACGGUCCUAAGGUAGCGAAAUUCCUUGUCGGGUAAGUUCCGACCUGCACGAAUGGCGUAAUGAUGGCCAGGCUGUCUCCACCCGAGACUCAGUGAAAUUGAACUCGCUGUGAAGAUGCAGUGUACCCGCGGCAAGACGGAAAGACCCCGUGAACCUUUACUAUAGCUUGACACUGAACAUUGAGCCUUGAUGUGUAGGAUAGGUGGGAGGCUUUGAAGUGUGGACGCCAGUCUGCAUGGAGCCGACCUUGAAAUACCACCCUUUAAUGUUUGAUGUUCUAACGUGGACCCGUUACCCGGGUUGCGGACAGUGUCUGGUGGGUAGUUUGACUGGGGCGGUCUCCUCCUAAAGAGUAACGGAGGAGCACGAAGGUUGGCUAAUCCUGGUCGGACAUCAGGAGGUUAGUGCAAUGGCAUAAGCCAGCUUGACUGCGAGCGUGACGGCGCGAGCAGGUGCGAAAGCAGGUCAUAGUGAUCC